GAGGAAUAUUGCACAAUGGGCGCAAGCCUGAUGCAGCAACGCCGCGUGCGGGACGAAGGCCUUCGGGUCGUAAACCGCUUUUCUGGGGGAAGAGCAAGGACGGUACCUCAGGAAUAAGUCUCGGCUAACCACGUGCCAGCAGCCGCGGUAAAACGUAGGAGGCGAGCGUUAUCCGGAUUUACUGGGCGUAAAGCGCACGCAGGCGGCUCUGUUAGUCGGACGUGAAAGCUCUCGGCUUAACCGGGAGAGGCCGUUCGAUACUGCGGGGCUUGAGGUAGGGAGAGGAAUGCGGAAUUCCCGGUGUAGUGGUGGAAUGCGUAGAUAUCGGGAGGAACACCUGUGUCGAAAGCGGCAUUCUGGCCCUCACCUGACGCUGAGGUGCGAAAGCGUGGGUAGCAAACA
RNAcentral lists this ribosomal RNA (402 nucleotides) under uncultured bacterium. Its description in RNAcentral is "bacterial SSU rRNA". It matches the Rfam family "Bacterial small subunit ribosomal RNA", at positions 356 to 774 of the family's 1533-position model. The record is from RNAcentral.